AAAGUCGUAACAAGGUUUCCGUAGGUGAACCUGCGGAAGGAUCAUUAACACAUCCAAUUUCCAUAAAAACCCAAACCCUUUUAAAUAAAAAAAACAACCAUUUUUAACCCCUAAUAACAUAACUAAUUGACUAAACUAAGAUUGUAUCUCAGAUUAAGCAAAUCAUUCUCUAAAAUUGUUAACUCCAUUUUCGAUUGAGUCUUUUGUGACGGUUUGAGUCCAAUCGCACCAAUUCAUUCAUUUGAAUUGUAUCAAAUAAAAAUACAACUCUUAACAAUGGAUAUCUUGGUUCUC
Molecule: unclassified non-coding RNA, 294 nt
Filed under: Basidiomycota sp.
Lineage: Eukaryota; Fungi; Basidiomycota
Description: partial contains small subunit ribosomal RNA, internal transcribed spacer 1, and 5.8S ribosomal RNA
Rfam family: Eukaryotic small subunit ribosomal RNA (bases 1-47)
Source: RNAcentral